This 246-nucleotide ribosomal RNA is filed under the name uncultured bacterium. Its description in RNAcentral is "partial 16S ribosomal RNA". It matches the Rfam family "Bacterial small subunit ribosomal RNA", at positions 15 to 273 of the family's 1533-position model. The record is from RNAcentral.
GAUCAUGGCUCAGAUUGAACGCUGGCGGCAUGCCUAACACAUGCAAGUCGAACGAGGGUAGCAAUACUCUAGUGGCGGACGGGUGAGGAAUACAUAGGAAUUUGCCCUUAAGUGGGGGAUAACCCGGGGAAACCCGGACUAAUACCGCAUGAACUCGAGAGAGCAAAGCAGGGGAUCGUAAGACCUUGCGCUUUUGGAGAAGCCUAUGUCGGAUUAGCUUGUUGGUGAGGUAAUGGCUCACCAAGG